GCCAAUGUAGCUCAGUCGGUAGAGCAGCUGAUUCGUAAUCAGCAGGUCACAGGUUCGAGUCCUGCCAUUGGCUCCA
RNAcentral lists this transfer RNA (76 nucleotides) under Clostridia bacterium. RNAcentral describes it as "tRNA-Thr". It matches the Rfam family "tRNA". From Rfam's summary of the family: Transfer RNA (tRNA) molecules are approximately 80 nucleotides in length. Their secondary structure includes four short double-helical elements and three loops (D, anti-codon, and T loops). The record is from RNAcentral. Lineage: Bacteria; Bacillati; Bacillota; Clostridia.